CCGAGUGGCGGACGGGUGAGUAACGCGUGGGUAACCUGCCUCAUACAGGGGGAUAACGGUUAGAAAUGACUGCUAAUACCGCAUAAGCGCACAGUACCGCAUGGUACGGUGUGAAAAACUCCGGUGGUAUGAGAUGGACCCGCGUCUGAUUAGGUAGUUGGUGGGGCAACGGCCUACCAAGCCAACGAUCAGUAGCCGACCUGAGAGGGUGACCGGCCACAUUGGGACUGAGACACGGCCCAA
RNAcentral lists this ribosomal RNA (243 nucleotides) under uncultured bacterium. RNAcentral's name for it is "partial 16S ribosomal RNA". It matches the Rfam family "Bacterial small subunit ribosomal RNA", at positions 91 to 334 of the family's 1533-position model. The record is from RNAcentral.